GGGGAUAACCGGGGGAAACCCGGCCUAAUACCCCAUGCCGCCCGGACCGGGCAUCCGGUCCGGGCGAAAGGAGGAAUCCGGUGGCGGCUGGGCAUGCGGCGCAUUAGCUUGACGGCGGGGUAACGGCCCACCGUGGCGACGAUGCGUAGGGGUUCUGAGAGGAAGGCCCCCCACACUGGAACUGAGACACGGUCCAGACUCCUACGGGAGGCAGCAGUGAGGAAUAUUGGUCAAUGGGCGGAAGCCUGAACCAGCCAAGUCGCGUGAGGGAAUAAGGCCCUACGGGUCGUAAACCUCUUUUGCCGGGGAGCAAGGGCCGGGACGAGUCCCGGUCCGGAGAGUACCCGGAGAAAAAGCAUCGGCUAACUCCGUGCCAGCAGCCGCGGUAAUACGGAGGAUGCGAGCGUUAUCCGGAUUUAUUGGGUUUAAAGGGUGCGUAGGCGGGCUUUUAAGUCAGCGGUAAAAAUUCGGGGCUCAACCCCGUCCGGCCGUUGAAACUGGGGGCCUUGAGUGGGCGAGAAGAAGGCGGAAUGCGUGGUGUAGCGGUGAAAUGCAUAGAUAUCACGCAGAACCCCGAUUGCGAAGGCAGCCUUCCGGCGCCCUACUGACGCUGAGGCACGAAAGUGCGGGGAUCGAACAGGAUUAGAUACCCUGGUAGUCCGCACAGUAAACG
RNAcentral lists this ribosomal RNA (673 nucleotides) under uncultured bacterium. RNAcentral's name for it is "bacterial SSU rRNA". It matches the Rfam family "Bacterial small subunit ribosomal RNA", at positions 139 to 808 of the family's 1533-position model. The record is from RNAcentral.